This 122-nucleotide non-coding RNA is filed under the name Stegodyphus mimosarum. Lineage: Eukaryota; Metazoa; Arthropoda; Arachnida; Araneae; Eresidae. The record is from RNAcentral.
AUGCUAUAUGAAAGGACAGAAAGUCUUCUAUCUUUCACAAGGAUAGACUGGCCUUUGGAUCUAAACAUCUAUGUGGUUAAAGUAGUAUUUCUUACUCUUUGAAAACAUAACCAACCGUUUUU